This 253-nucleotide ribosomal RNA is filed under the name uncultured bacterium. RNAcentral describes it as "partial 16S ribosomal RNA". It matches the Rfam family "Bacterial small subunit ribosomal RNA", at positions 524 to 776 of the family's 1533-position model. The record is from RNAcentral.
UACGUAGGGUGCGAGCGUUAAUCGGAAUUACUGGGCGUAAAGCGUGCGCAGGCGGUUAUAUAAGACAGAUGUGAAAUCCCCGGGCUCAACCUGGGAACUGCAUUUGUGACUGUAUAGCUAGAGUACGGUAGAGGGGGAUGGAAUUCCGCGUGUAGCAGUGAAAUGCGUAGAUAUGCGGAGGAACACCGAUGGCGAAGGCAAUCCCCUGGACCUGUACUGACGCUCAUGCACGAAAGCGUGGGGAGCAAACAGG